This is a long non-coding RNA of Symphalangus syndactylus (siamang), 577 nucleotides long. RefSeq lists it as uncharacterized. Lineage: Eukaryota; Metazoa; Chordata; Mammalia; Primates; Hylobatidae. The record is from RefSeq and is a predicted model, not a curated record.
UCUGAAAACAUAAUAAAUAACUUAUAAGGUUUAAAAGCACCACAACCCAAGAGUUAAAACCUGUACUUGGAAUCAAAUCUUGUAUCAGUUUACCCAUGAGAGGGCAUCCUUAAAUGAAAGAAUCCAGUCUCUAGCUGGAACUUCAAGAAGCAACAAGACAUUGCUUAAAAUUCCCCUAUCUGUUAGAAGGCUAAAACAGUCACUCCUUUGGAGACCAACGCACCUGCAGUUGUUCUGUUUUCUUCUGCCACACCAGCCAUUGUGCAACAUCUGGAUAAGUAGCUACAACACAGCGUCUUUUCCUGUCUUGGGGCUCAGCCUCCCGUGGACCAAAGGGUCAAGUGUUUUGCUUAAUUCCAUGGCCUCCUCUGCUGUCUCUUCCAUCAGUGCUGUCAUUUCCCCAGUUGGAGAGAUGAUGACUAGUCUGGACAAUAGACAAUGUCUUGCUGUAUUGUCCAGGCUGGAGUACAGUGGUGCUAACAUGGCUCACUGCAGCCUCAACCUUCCAGGUUCAAGCAAUCUCCCACCUCAGCCUCCCGAGUAGCUGGGACUACAGGCAUGCACUACCACACCCAGG